CUAAAUUGAGAGUUGGUAGGGUCAGCACAGUGCAGAAAUGGAAGAGGAGAUAACUACAAUGUUUAUUUUAACAGUGAAUUCGGUUGAUGGUGUCAUACUUUUUUAACAAAGUGAAUGUGAAAAGCAGUUCCUGUUUCUUCAAGCAUUUUAUCAUUAACACUCUUAAACAUAUAUGACGCAACUUACUGUGAAGGAGGAGAACAAAAGUGCAGUGUGGAAGGUAGAAUAUCCAUUAUGUUUGAACCAGCUGCUCCUGCUGUACAUUACUGUCUCGUGCCAAGAAAGAAAGGAAAUGAAGAUAAACAUAAAAAUGAAGAAAAAAAUGAAAUAUGACAGCUGAAAUGCACAAUGAUUUUCACUUGGUGAAUUUGCUAAUGGGGAGGAGGACAUUGUCUAUGGUCCCUGUCUGAAGACAUUAUGUAAACUAGCAGUCAUUCAGUCUAGCUUGGAUCAGUCUGGCCUCCCUCAUGACAUCGGGUGGGAGUUGACAGCUAUGACAUCAGUCGGCCAAUCUUCUCUUCUCAUGGCUGAGUCUGCAACUCCUGCUCAACAAUACGCCAACCAGAACACACUGAGGAUUUUUGUUUUUUACUUACAGGAAAAAAACUGUGGUGUAUUCAUAGCAAAUUUGCUGUUCAUGUUUAAUUUUUGUAAAACAUUCUAAAGCAAGAUUUGAUUUCUUGCUCAUAUAUAUGUGUUUGUAUGAAAAGCAAAGAGUUUCCAUCUAAGGAUAACAGUAGUUCAGUAUGACAGUGCUUUUUGAACAAGACUGAGUUGACGUUGUGUCUUCUCAUUAUGUUGACUUGAAGUUCUAAACAGUAAAAUGAGCUGAAAUUGAUUUUAUUUCAUUCACAUGGGAAAGAAGAGACAGAAUUGAGUUUUCUAACCUACUGUUUUUCUGGAAAUAGGCACAAGUCACCCACUUAGGUAACUGACUCAUCUAAUAAACCAGUAUACACAAAGCCUAAGGAAUGCAGACAAAACAUAUAGGAAACAAGGCAAUGAA
This is a long non-coding RNA of Acipenser ruthenus (sterlet), 1006 nucleotides long. RefSeq lists it as uncharacterized. Lineage: Eukaryota; Metazoa; Chordata; Actinopteri; Acipenseriformes; Acipenseridae. The transcript has 3 exons. The record is from RefSeq and is a predicted model, not a curated record.